CAAUAGCGUAUAUUAAAGUUGUUGCAGUUAAAAGCUCGUAGUUGGAUUUCUGGUUGGAGCGACCGGUCGGGCAUUGAUUUGUCUGCACUGGAGUCGGUUCUGGCCAUCCUCUUGGAAAGUGCGUCUGUCAUUAAGUUGUCGGGCGUAUGAUCCAGGUCUUUUACUGUGAAAAAUUAGAGUGUUUAAAGCAGGCCUUCGCCUUGAAUACAUUAGCAUGGAAUAAUAAGAUAGGACUUUGAGUCUAUUUUGUUGGUUUGCGAGUCAAAGUAAUGAUUAAUAGGGACAGUUGGGGGUAUUCGUAUUUCAUUGUCAGAGGUGAAAUUCUUGGAUUUCUGAAAGACGAACUACUGCGAAAGCAUUUACCAAGGAUGUUUUCAUUAAUCAAGAACGAAAGUUAGGGGAUCGAAGACGAUCAGAUACCGU
RNAcentral lists this ribosomal RNA (423 nucleotides) under uncultured eukaryote. RNAcentral's name for it is "bacterial SSU rRNA". It matches the Rfam family "Eukaryotic small subunit ribosomal RNA", at positions 592 to 1018 of the family's 1831-position model. The record is from RNAcentral.